CAGAGAGCUUGCUCUCGGGUGACGAGCGGCGGACGGGUGAGUAAUGUCUGGGAAACUGCCUGAUGGAGGGGGAUAACUACUGGAAACGGUAGCUAAUACCGCAUAACGUCGCAAGACCAAAGUGGGGGACCUUCGGGCCUCAUGCCAUCAGAUGUGCCCAGAUGGGAUUAGCUAGUAGGUGGGGUAACGGCUCACCUAGGCGACGAUCCCUAGCUGGUCUGAGAGGAUGACCAGCCACACUGGAACUGAGACACGGUCCAGACUCCUACGGGAGGCAGCAGUGGGGAAUAUUGCACAAUGGGCGCAAGCCUGAUGCAGCCAUGCCGCGUGUGUGAAGAAGGCCUUCGGGUUGUAAAGCACUUUCAGCGGGGAGGAAGGCGUUAAGGUUAAUAACCUUGGCGAUUGACGUUACCCGCAGAAGAAGCACCGGCUAACUCCGUGCCAGCAGCCGCGGUAAUACGGAGGGUGCAAGCGUUAAUCGGAAUUACUGGGCGUAAAGCGCACGCAGGCGGUCUGUCAAGUCGGAUGUGAAAUCCCCGGGCU
RNAcentral lists this ribosomal RNA (543 nucleotides) under Klebsiella pneumoniae. RNAcentral's name for it is "bacterial SSU rRNA". It matches the Rfam family "Bacterial small subunit ribosomal RNA", at positions 72 to 609 of the family's 1533-position model. Lineage: Bacteria; Pseudomonadati; Pseudomonadota; Gammaproteobacteria; Enterobacterales; Enterobacteriaceae. The record is from RNAcentral.